CCUACGGGAGGCAGCAGUGAGGAAUAUUGGUCAAUGGGCGAGAGCCUGAACCAGCCAAGUCGCGUGAAGGAUGACGGCCCUACGGGUUGUAAACUUCUUUUGUCAGGGAGCAAUAGACUCCACGUGUGGUCUUAGCGAGAGUACCUGAAGAAAAAGCAUCGGCCAACUCCGUGCCAGCAGCCGCGGUAAUACGGAGGAUGCGAGCGUUAUCCGGAUUUAUUGGGUUUAAAGGGUGCGCAGGCGGAUUUUUAAGUCAGCGGUAAAAUCGUGGGGCUCAACCCCAUCCAGCCGUUGAAACUGGGGUUCUAGAGUGGGCGAGAGGUAUGCGGAAUGCGUGGUGUAGCGGUGAAAUGCAUAGAUAUCACGCAGAACCCCGAUUGCGAAGGCAGCAUACCGGUGCACAACUGACGCUCAGGCACGAAAGCGUGGGUAUCGAACAGGAUUAGAUACCCCGGUAGUC
RNAcentral lists this ribosomal RNA (460 nucleotides) under uncultured bacterium. Its description in RNAcentral is "partial 16S ribosomal RNA". It matches the Rfam family "Bacterial small subunit ribosomal RNA", at positions 338 to 795 of the family's 1533-position model. The record is from RNAcentral.